GGAAAUCUCUCUGCCAUAGCUCUUCUUCUCUUCUUCAUAGCUCUUCUUCUUCUUCUUUCUUUACCAGCCAAGUGUGCUCUGGGAUAUUUGAUGCUCCCUGAAAAUGGCAGUGGCAAUGGAGGCUGCCGUCUCCUCCACACCUCGUGUGUGUUGAUACACACAGGUGCAUCCGAGUGUCCCAGCAGCUGUGAGUCUAUGGGUGGCACUGAGACACAGGAUUCUCAGAAGCAGCACUGGAAGUCCCACUCUUGAGCACAGUCUCAUUGUUUUUUAAGGGUCUAGAGAGGGUUGUGUGUGCACAUACACGCGAUGUGCAUUAAAUACACACUCAGUGUAACACCAGCCAGGACGGCUCUUUUCCUUUCAGGAUGGUGACCCUGUCUGAGGGAAGCUGAUGAAGCCCUACAGGAGGGAGAUCUGAGUCAUGAGAGCCUUCUCAUGGAAACUUACUUCCUGGCCUCCUUUUUGCUGCACACUGAGAACAGAAGAUGAACUAGGACGUGGUGGAGGGAAACUGCAAUGGUCCUGGAGAGAAGCAGAGGUUUGCUGGCUUAGAAGAAAGCUUGCUUCCCAGGUUUCAGUGUUACCUGAAUUGUACAGAGGACUGACUUUGACCAGGCAAAAAGGCCUUUUGGAAUUAAGCCAGCCAGAAGAAGCAAACCCCCUAAAAAAUCAUGUCCCAGUAGGUAAAAGGGUAAGAGAGAGAGAAGAAAAGUUUGGGAUCAUUGGUAAGGAAACAAGAGCUCCAGCAUAA
RNAcentral lists this long non-coding RNA (754 nucleotides) under Numida meleagris (helmeted guineafowl). RNAcentral describes it as "lncRNA (ENSNMEG00000019617.1)". The record is from RNAcentral. Lineage: Eukaryota; Metazoa; Chordata; Aves; Galliformes; Numididae.